This 497-nucleotide ribosomal RNA is filed under the name uncultured bacterium. RNAcentral describes it as "partial 16S ribosomal RNA". It matches the Rfam family "Bacterial small subunit ribosomal RNA", at positions 28 to 507 of the family's 1533-position model. The record is from RNAcentral.
GACGAACGCUGGCGGCGUGCCUAAUACAUGCAAGUAGAACGCUGAAGGGAGGAGCUUCCUCUUCUUGGAUGAGUUGCGAACGGGUGAGUAACGCGUAGGUAACCUGCCUUGUAGCGGGGGAUAACUAUUGGAAACGAUAGCUAAUACCGCAUAACAAUGGAUGACACAUGUCAUUUAUUUGAAAGGGGCAAUUGCUCCACUACAAGAUGGACCUGCGUUGUAUUAGCUAGUAGGUGAGGUAAUGGCUCACCUAGGCGACGAUACAUAGCCGACCUGAGAGGGUGAUCGGCCACACUGGGACUGUGACACGGCCCAGACUCCUACGGGAGGCAGCAGUAGGGAAUCUUCGGCAAUGGGGGCAACCCUGACCGAGCAACGCCGCGGGAGUGAAGAAGGUUUUCGGAUCGUAAAGCUCUGUUGUAAGUCAAGAACGGGUGUGAGAGUGGAAAGUUCACACUGUGACGGUAGCUUACCAGAAAGGGACGGCUAACUACGUG